AAAUCCGAAGACGUGAUGUGGAGCGAAAUAAAGUAGUGAAGCGUGUGAGCCAUGUGCCGAGAAAAGCUGCUAUUGUGUAAUGCGUGCCCGUACCGUAAACCGACACAGGUGGAUGAGGAGAGAAUCCUAAGGCCGGCGUAAGAAGCAUUGUUAAGGAAUUCGGCAAAAUGACCCCGUAACUUCGGGAGAAGGGGUGCCUGCGAGAGCAGGCCGCAGAGAAUAGGCUCAAGCAACUGUUUAGCAAAAACACAGGUCUAUGCGAAACCGAAAGGUGAAGUAUAUGGGCUGACGCCUGCCCGGUGCUGGAAGGUUAAGAGGAGAGGUUAGCUUCGGCGAAGCUUUGAAUUUAAGCCCCAGUAAACGGCGGCCGUAACGAUAACGGUCCUAAGGUAGCGAAAUUCCUUGUCGGGUAAGUUCCGACCCGCACGAAAGGCGUAAUGAUUUGAGCACUGUCUCGACAGUGCAUCCGGUGAAAUUGAAGUACCAGUGAAGAUGCUGGUUACCCGCGCCAGGACGGAAAGACCCCAUGGAGCUUUACUCCAGUUUGAUACUGGGAUUCGGUACUGCAUGUACAGGAUAGGUGGGAGACGAAGAAGGAUGGACGCCAGUCUGUCCGGAGUCGCUGUUGGGAUACCACCCCUGUAGUACUGGGUUUCUAACCAGUUGCCAUGAACUGGCAAUGGGACAAUGUCAGGCGGGGAGUUUGACUGGGGCGGUCGCCUCCGAAAGGGUAUCGGAGGCGCUCAAAGGUUCCCUCAGAAUGGUUGGAAACCAUUUGAAGAGUGCAAAGGCAGAAGGGAGCUUGACUGCGACACCGACGGGUGGAGCAGGUACGAAAGUAGGACUUAGUGAUCCGGUGGUAUAAAGUGGGAUUGCCAUCGCUCAACGGAUAAAAGCUACCCUGGGAUAACAGGCUUAUCACUCCCAAGAGUUCACAUCGACGGAGUGGUUUGGCACCUCGAUGUCGGCUCAUCGCAUCCUGGGGCUGUAGCAGGUCCCAAGGGUUGGGCUGUUCGCCCAUUAAAGCGGUACGCGAGCUGGGUUCAGAACGUCGUGAGACAGUUCGGUCCCUAUCCGGCGCGGGCGGAGGAUAUUUGAGAGGAGCUGUCCUUAGUACGAGAGGACCGGGAUGGACGGACCACUGGUGUAUCUGUUGUCGACCAACGGCAUGGCAGAGUAGCCAAGUCUGGAAGGGAUAAACGCUGAAGGCAUCUAAGCGUGAAGCCCCCCUCAAGAUGAGAUAUCCCUCCUUCGGGAGUAAGACCCCUUGAAGACUACAAGGUAGAUAGGGCAGAGGUGGAAGCAUGGCAACAUGUGGAGCUGACUGUUACUAAUAGGUCGAGGGCUUAAC
Molecule: ribosomal RNA, 1351 nt
Filed under: metagenome
Description: bacterial LSU rRNA
Rfam family: Bacterial large subunit ribosomal RNA
Source: RNAcentral